RNAcentral lists this ribosomal RNA (447 nucleotides) under uncultured bacterium. RNAcentral describes it as "bacterial SSU rRNA". It matches the Rfam family "Bacterial small subunit ribosomal RNA", at positions 328 to 792 of the family's 1533-position model. The record is from RNAcentral.
UGCCCAGACUCCUACGGGAGGCAGCAGUGGGGAAUAUUGCACAAUGGGGGAAACCCUGAUGCAGCGACGCCGCGUGAGUGAAGAAGUAUUUCGGUCUGUAAAGCUCUAUCAGCAGGGAAGAAAAUGACGGUACCUGAUUAAGAAGCCCCGGCUAACUACGUGCCAGCAGCCGCGGUAAUACGUAGGGGGCAAGCGUUAUCCGGAUUUACUGGGUGUAAAGGGCGUGUAGUCGGGCUGACAAGUCAGAUGUGAAAUCCGGGGGCUCAACCCCCGAACUGCAUUUGAAACUGUUGGUCUUGAGUAUCGGAGAGGCAGGCGGAAUUCCUAGUGUAGCGGUGAAAUGCGUAGAUAUUAGGAGGAACACCAGUGGCGAAGGCGGCCUGCUGGACGACAACUGACGGUGAGGCGCGAAAGCGUGGGGAGCAAACAGGAUUAGAUACCCCAGUA